GACGAACGCUGGCGGCGUGCCUAAUACAUGCAAGUCGAACGCAGUGGGGACGGGUGAGUAACACGUGGGUAACCUCCCCAUCAGAGGGGAUAACACUUGGAAACAGGUGCUAAACCGAUACUGAUGGAUGGACCCGCGGUGCAUUAGCUAGUUGGUGAGGUAACGGCUCACCAAGGCCACGAUGCAUAGCCGACCGGGGAGGGUGACCGUCAAAACGGUGAAUGAGAAACGGCCCAGAGUCCAACGGGAGGCAGUAGUAGGGAAUCUUCGGCAAUGGACGAAAGUCUGACCGAGAAACGCCGCGGGAGUGAAGAAGGUUUUCGGAUCGUAAAACUCUGUGGUUAGAGAAGCGGUAUCUAACCAGAAAGCCACGGCUAACUACGUGCCAGCAGCCGCGGUAAUAC
RNAcentral lists this ribosomal RNA (404 nucleotides) under uncultured bacterium. RNAcentral describes it as "partial 16S ribosomal RNA". It matches the Rfam family "Bacterial small subunit ribosomal RNA", at positions 28 to 526 of the family's 1533-position model. The record is from RNAcentral.